UACAGAGGGUGCGAGCGUUAAUCGGAAUUACUGGGCGUAAAGGGUGCGUAGGUGGUUAUGUGAGUUAGGUGUGAAAUUCCUGGGCUUAACCUGGGGACUGCGCCUGAUACUGUGUAGCUAGAGUACUGUAGAGGAAAGUGGAAUUUCCGGUGUAGCGGUGAAAUGCGUAGAUAUCGGAAGGAACAUCGGUGGCGAAGGCGACUUUCUGGACAGCUACUGACACUGAGGCACGAAAGCAUGGGGAGCAAACAGG
This 253-nucleotide ribosomal RNA is filed under the name uncultured bacterium. RNAcentral's name for it is "partial 16S ribosomal RNA". It matches the Rfam family "Bacterial small subunit ribosomal RNA", at positions 524 to 776 of the family's 1533-position model. The record is from RNAcentral.